Ailuropoda melanoleuca (giant panda) is the source of this 692-nucleotide long non-coding RNA. RefSeq lists it as uncharacterized. The record is from RefSeq and is a predicted model, not a curated record. NCBI's taxonomy places the organism in Eukaryota, Metazoa, Chordata, Mammalia, Carnivora, Ursidae. The transcript has 3 exons.
AAAGACAAGGCAGAGAGAAAGAUAUUGUCUCGGAGUCUUACUGAUUUACAACGUAAUCUCCUUGGGGGUCAAGAGCAUUGAGGUCUAAUCUGUUUUGUCCUCUCUUUAAUGUAGUUUAAUCUUUUUCUAGGUUAUUUCAAUUCUGGUUCUUCCUUUACCUUUCAGAAUUCUAAAUCUUCUGGAAAACAAACAAAAGGGCCGAGGCUGAAACUCUGAGUUGAUGAAUCCCAGGCUUAGGAAGCAGAAGACGGGAUAUGGAGCGCUGGACCGGUCCCUUGGGGCCAGAAGCUUGGCUUAGCGUGAGCCAACAACAGAAAAACCUUUCUCCGCAUCUGAGCAAGUUGGCCGCUUUCCCCUGGAUGUCUGUGGCCUGGCCUGUGGAAUGCAAGCCUCCUUCCCGACCACCUGUCUGGCACACAUCUGGGCUUUGCGUGAAUUUGAAACCGUCCGACUUUGUGGACAGAGUCUCAGAAAACAGACCAGCGGCUUUUCUUCCUGUGUCGACUGGAAGUGACCUCUGGGCGCGUGCUGUCCGUUUUUUUAAUCCGGAUUAAUUCCCCUCACAUGUGAUCUUCCCUUUAUCUCAAGCAAAAAACAGUUCUGCUCUCUGUGUAGUAACUGCAGGCCUCCCACAUCCUCUGAUUUCCCUACAGUCUUGUUAUCACAACAAUGUGAAACUGAAUAAACGUCUG